Molecule: long non-coding RNA, 287 nt
Filed under: Nicotiana benthamiana
Lineage: Eukaryota; Viridiplantae; Streptophyta; Magnoliopsida; Solanales; Solanaceae
Description: long non-coding RNA (NBEN_LNC034051)
Source: RNAcentral
GAGAGCAUCAAUUCAUAUCCUUGAGCCUUCACAUCCUAAUCUUGUGCUCCAUCUUCAAGAGAUCAUUCGUAGAGAUUUGAUAAAUAAAUCAGCCAUAUUAACUAUAAUCACAUCCUAAUCUUGUGCACCAUCUUCAAGAGAUCAUUGGUCGAGAUUUGAUAAAUAAAUCAGCUAUAUUAACUUGAAUAAAUAUGUUGCACCUUGAAAUUAUCAUACUUUAUAAAUAUGUAAUAUCUUUAUAAAGUGUCGUGGAAUGGCAUUUUCAAUAUCUCCAUAGAUAUUCUCGC